AACGAACGCUGGCGGCAGGCCUAACACAUGCAAGUCGAGCGAGGACUUCGGAUCUAGCGGCGGACGGGUGAGUAACGCGUGGGAAUGUGCCCUUCUCUACGGAAUAGCCCUGGGAAACUGGGAGUAAUACCGUAUACGCCCUAUUGGGGAAAGAUUUAUCGGAGAAGGAUCAGCCCGCGUUGGAUUAGGUAGUUGGUGGGGUAAUGGCCUACCAAGCCGACGAUCCAUAGCUGGUUUGAGAGGAUGAUCAGCCACACUGGGACUGAGACACGGCCCAGACUCCUACGGGAGGCAGCAGUGGGGAAUCUUAGACAAUGGGGGCAACCCUGAUCUAGCCAUGCCGCGUGAGUGAUGAAGGCCUUAGGGUUGUAAAGCUCUUUCAGCUGGGAAGAUAAUGACGGUACCAGCAGAAGAAGCCCCGGCUAACUCCGUG
This 433-nucleotide ribosomal RNA is filed under the name uncultured bacterium. Its description in RNAcentral is "partial 16S ribosomal RNA". It matches the Rfam family "Bacterial small subunit ribosomal RNA", at positions 29 to 507 of the family's 1533-position model. The record is from RNAcentral.